Molecule: long non-coding RNA, 728 nt
Organism: Cyprinus carpio carpio
Lineage: Eukaryota; Metazoa; Chordata; Actinopteri; Cypriniformes; Cyprinidae
Source: Ensembl
AACAUUUACUCAUCAAAUGCUCUAGUCUGAAUCUUAUUUUAAAUGAAUUUAAUGAUAUGUUUAAUGAGCAAUAUUAAUUGCACACAGAGUAAGUAGAGAUUAUCUUGUUUUACAGAAGAGAAGAUCAAGGAAAUUAUUUGUUCAGGAUGAGGAAUGAAGACGGCCAUCUUGUGCCCAAACGAAGACAGAAAGCUGUCCACUGAUGAUCUCAUCAGCCAAAUGAGGGGUUUUGACCAAGUGAUGGUCUUGAAAGGAAUGAAAGAAGAGGAUGUGGUAAAUUGUCUUCAAAGAAAAAGCUUCUCAAAAGGUCUUAAAACAGCUUGAAGAAUGGUAUGUGUCCAGUACUUCAAGGGUCAUAGUUGUUCACACUGCUAAAAUCACACAGAACAUUAAACUGUCUGACUGUCCAUUAAACAACUUCAUCUGAAUUGUUUGUGUUUUUUGUUUUACUUUGACCAGGUCUGGGAACUGUCUGAAAAUGGGAUGUUAGGACUGAGAGAUCCUCUGGCUGAGAAAAAGCUACACCAGAUCAGUGCUGGAUAUCAACCACAAACUGUUUCCAGACACGAGAGAAGAAGAUCAUGAUGGGGAAAUGAAACCAGUUUAGAUGUGAUGAUAAGGAAUCAUUAUUUUCUGAAACAGUAUCACAUGUCUUAUAUGUAUCACAUGAUCUGUAUCACAGUUGCCUGGAUGGGAUUGUGUGACUUUUUAAGGACAUUUCAUUACUC